RNAcentral lists this ribosomal RNA (467 nucleotides) under uncultured bacterium. RNAcentral describes it as "partial 16S ribosomal RNA". It matches the Rfam family "Bacterial small subunit ribosomal RNA", at positions 28 to 507 of the family's 1533-position model. The record is from RNAcentral.
GACGAACGCUGGCGGCGUGCUUAACACAUGCAAGUCGAACGGAAAGGCCUCUUUCGGGGGGUACUCGAGUGGCGAACGGGUGAGUAACACGUGAGUAACCUGCCCUUGACUUUGGGAUAACUUCAGGAAACUGGGGCUAAUACCGGAUAGGAGCUCCUGCUGCAUGGUGGGGGUUGGAAAGUUUCGGCGGUUGGGGAUGGGCUCGCGGCUUAUCAGCUUGUUGGUGGGGUAGUGGCUUACCAAGGCUUUGACGGGUAGCCGGCCUGAGAGGGUGACCGGCCACAUUGGGACUGAGAUACGGCCCAGACUCCUACGGGAGGCAGCAGUGGGGAAUAUUGCACAAUGGGUGGAAGCCUGAUGCAGCAACGCCGUGUGCGGGAUGACGGCCUUCGGGUUGUAAACCGCUUUCGCUCAUGACGAAGCUUUGUGUGACGGUAGUGGGUAAAGAAGCACCGGCUAACUACGUG